GAUGAAGAACGUAGCGAAAUGCGAUAAGUAAUGUGAAUUGCAGAAUUCAGUGAAUCAUCGAAUGUUUGAACGCACAUUGCGACCGCCAGUAUUCUGGCGGGCAUGCCUGUUCGAGCGUCAUUUCAACCAUCAAGCCCCAGGCUUGUGUUGGGGACCUGCGGCUGCCGCAGGCCCUGAAAACCAGUGGCGGGCUCGCUGUCACACCGGGCGUAGUAGAUUUUAUCUCGCUCAGGGCGUGCUGCGGGUUCCGGCCGUUAAAAAGCCUUUUUUACCCAAGGUUGACCUCGGAUCAGGUAGGAAGACCCGCUGAACUUAAGCAUAUCAAUAAGCGGAGGA
RNAcentral lists this unclassified non-coding RNA (336 nucleotides) under soil metagenome. Its description in RNAcentral is "partial contains 5.8S ribosomal RNA, internal transcribed spacer 2, and large subunit ribosomal RNA". The stretch from base 1 to 120 matches the Rfam family "5.8S ribosomal RNA", at positions 35 to 154 of the family's 154-position model. The record is from RNAcentral.